This 273-nucleotide ribosomal RNA is filed under the name uncultured Staphylococcus sp. RNAcentral describes it as "partial 16S ribosomal RNA". It matches the Rfam family "Bacterial small subunit ribosomal RNA", at positions 89 to 355 of the family's 1533-position model. Lineage: Bacteria; Bacillati; Bacillota; Bacilli; Caryophanales; Staphylococcaceae. The record is from RNAcentral.
ACGUUAGCGGCGGACGGGUGAGUAACACGUGGGUAACCUACCUAUAAGACUGGGAUAACUUCGGGAAACCGGAGCUAAUACCGGAUAAUAUUUCGAACCGCAUGGUUCGAUAGUGAAAGGUGGUUUUGCUAUCACUUAUAGAUGGACCCGCGCCGUAUUAGCUAGUUGGUAAGGUAACGGCUUGCCAAGGCGACGAUACGUAGCCGACCUGAGAGGGUGAUCGGCCACACUGGAACUGAGACACGGUCCAGACUCCUACGGGAGGCAGCAGCU